Molecule: ribosomal RNA, 757 nt
Filed under: Neophonus sp. TJH-2005
Lineage: Eukaryota; Metazoa; Arthropoda; Insecta; Coleoptera; Staphylinidae
Description: partial 16S ribosomal RNA
Rfam family: Archaeal large subunit ribosomal RNA (bases 1-593)
Source: RNAcentral
GUCUUUAAGAUUUUAAUUUUAAGUCUGGCCUGCCCAUUGAUAAAUUUAACGGCCGCAGUAUUUUGACUGUGCGAAGGUAGCAUAAUAAUUAGUUUUUUAAUUAAAAGCUUGUAUGAAUGGUUAGACAAGGAAAAUUCUGUCUCUGCUUAAUUUUAUUAGAAUUUUAUUUUUAAGUUAAAAAGCUUAAAUAUAUUUAAAAGACGAGAAGACCCUAUAGAGUUUUAUAUAAAUAAUUAUUGAUUAAUUUAAGGAAUAAUUUAUAUAAAUAAUUUAUAUAUUUAGUUGGGGUGAUUUUAAAAUUUAAUUAACUUUUAAUAUAUUUAAACAUUAAUAAAUGAUUUUAUGAUCCAAUUUUAUUGAUUAAAAGAUUAAAUUACCUUAGGGAUAACAGCGUUAUUUUUUUAGAGAGUUCUUAUCGAUAAAAAAGAUUGCGACCUCGAUGUUGGAUUAAAAUUAAUUUUUAAUGUAGAAGUUAAGAAUAUUAGGUCUGUUCGACCUUUAAAAUUUUACAUGAUCUGAGUUUAAACCGGUGUGAGCCAGGUUGGUUUCUAUCUUUAAAUUAUGUUAAUAUUUUAGUACGAAAGGACCAAAUAUUUAUAAUAAUUAUUUUAUUUUGAAUAUUAUUAAUUUAUUUUGGCAGAAUAGUGCAUUAAAUUUAGAAUUUAAUUAUGUAUAAUUAUACAAGUAAAAAUCUUUUUAAUUGAUAUUAUUAUAAUAGUAAUUAGAUUUUUAAUUUUAAUUGUUUGUGUGUUAGUGG